This 229-nucleotide unclassified non-coding RNA is filed under the name Schizophyllum commune. RNAcentral's name for it is "partial internal transcribed spacer region". The stretch from base 1 to 46 matches the Rfam family "Eukaryotic small subunit ribosomal RNA", at positions 1786 to 1831 of the family's 1831-position model. The record is from RNAcentral. Lineage: Eukaryota; Fungi; Basidiomycota; Agaricomycetes; Agaricales; Schizophyllaceae.
AAGUCGUAACAAGGUUUCCGUAGGUGAACCUGCGGAAGGAUCAUUAACGAAUCAAACAAGUUCAUCUUGUUCUGAUCCUGUGCACCUUAUGUAGUCCUCUAAAGCCUUCACGGGCGGCGGUUGACUACGUCUACCUCACACCUUAAAGUAUGUUAACGAAUGUAAUCAUGGUCUCGACAGACCCUAAAAAGUUAAUACAACUUUCGACAACGGAUCUCUUGGCUCUCGC